Molecule: ribosomal RNA, 629 nt
Filed under: uncultured Phaeocystis
Lineage: Eukaryota; Haptophyta; Phaeocystales; Phaeocystaceae
Description: partial Eukaryotic small subunit ribosomal RNA
Rfam family: Eukaryotic small subunit ribosomal RNA
Source: RNAcentral
GGGAGACGGAUCGUUUACUUUGAAAAAAUCAGAGUGUUUCAAGCAGGCAGCUCGCUCUUGCAUGGAUUAGCAUGGGAUAAUGAAAUAGGACUCUGGUGCUAUUUUGUUGGUUUCGAACACCGGAGUAAUGAUUAACAGGGACAGUCAGGGGCACUCGUAUUCCGUCGAGAGAGGUGAAAUUCUCAGACCAAUGGAAGACGAACCACUGCGAAAGCAUUUGCCAGGGAUGUUUUCACUGAUCAAGAACGAAAGUUAGGGGAUCGAAGACGAUCAGAUACCGUCGUAGUCUUAACCAUAAACCAUGCCGACUAGGGAUUGGAGGGUGUUCGUUUCGACCUCUUCAGCACCUUACGGGAAACUAAAGUCUUUGGGUUCCGGGGGGAGUAUGGUCGCAAGGCUGAAACUUAAAGGAAUUGACGGAAGGGCACCACCAGGAGUGGAGCCUGCGGCUUAAUUUGACUCAACACGGGGAAACUUACCAGGUCCAGACAUUGUUAGGAUUGACAGAUUGAGAGCUCUUUCUUGAUUCGAUGGGUGGUGGUGCAUGGCCGUUCUUAGUUGGUGGAGUGAUUUGUCUGGUUAAUUCCGAUAACGAACGAGACCUUAACCUGCUAAAUAGCCCAAUCGAC